GGAAAGGGUACAAUCCAAGUAGUUGGUUUGGUAGCUGGUAUGAGUGGUUUGGAGGGCUUAAGGCAGUGGUAGGUGGAGUCCUACUGAUUUUAAUGUUGUGUCUACUCCUGCCGUGUCUUAUACCCUCAGUAGUUAGGUCUGUGCAAAGCCUGAUAGAAAAUAUAGCAGAGAGGAAGGCUGCUGCACAGAUAAUGGCAAUUUAUAAAUAUAAGGCUCUAGAUCAGGG
Non-coding RNA from Pelobates cultripes (western spadefoot toad), 226 nucleotides. The record is from the annotation of a GenBank genome assembly. NCBI's taxonomy places the organism in Eukaryota, Metazoa, Chordata, Amphibia, Anura, Pelobatidae.